This 228-nucleotide ribosomal RNA is filed under the name uncultured bacterium. RNAcentral's name for it is "partial 16S ribosomal RNA". It matches the Rfam family "Bacterial small subunit ribosomal RNA", at positions 109 to 334 of the family's 1533-position model. The record is from RNAcentral.
AGUAACGCGUGAGGAACCUGCCUCAAAGAGGGGGACAACAGUUGGAAACGACUGCUAAUACCGCAUAAGCCCACGGCUCGGCAUCGAGCAGAGGGAAAAGGAGCAAUCCGCUUUUGAGAUGGCCUCGCGUCCGAUUAGCUAGUUGGUGAGGUAAUGGCCCACCAAGGCGACGAUCGGUAGCCGGACUGAGAGGUUGAACGGCCACAUUGGGACUGAGACACGGCCCAG